UACAGAGGGGGCAAGCGUUGUUCGGAAUUACUGGGCGUAAAGGGCGCGUAGGCGGCCCGCUAAGUCGAACGUGAAAUCCCUGAGCUCAACUCAGGACGUGCCUUGGAAACUGUAUUACUAGAGUGCUGGAGAGGUCCGCAGAAUUCCCGGUGUAGCGGUGAAAUGCGUAGAGAUCGGGAGGAAUACCAGAGGCGAAGGCGGCGGACUGGACAGUCACUGACACUCAACUACGAAAGCGUGGGUAGCAAACAGG
RNAcentral lists this ribosomal RNA (253 nucleotides) under uncultured prokaryote. RNAcentral describes it as "partial 16S ribosomal RNA". It matches the Rfam family "Bacterial small subunit ribosomal RNA", at positions 524 to 776 of the family's 1533-position model. The record is from RNAcentral.